RNAcentral lists this ribosomal RNA (1360 nucleotides) under Mammaliicoccus sciuri. RNAcentral's name for it is "bacterial SSU rRNA". It matches the Rfam family "Bacterial small subunit ribosomal RNA", at positions 79 to 1421 of the family's 1533-position model. The record is from RNAcentral. Lineage: Bacteria; Bacillati; Bacillota; Bacilli; Caryophanales; Staphylococcaceae.
CUUGCUUCUCUGAUGUUAGCGGCGGACGGGUGAGUAACACGUGGGUAACCUACCUAUAAGACUGGGAUAACUCCGGGAAACCGGGGCUAAUACCGGAUAAUAUUUUGAACCGCAUGGUUCAAUAGUGAAAGACGGUUUCGGCUGUCACUUAUAGAUGGACCCGCGCCGUAUUAGCUAGUUGGUAAGGUAACGGCUUACCAAGGCGACGAUACGUAGCCGACCUGAGAGGGUGAUCGGCCACACUGGAACUGAGACACGGUCCAGACUCCUACGGGAGGCAGCAGUAGGGAAUCUUCCGCAAUGGGCGAAAGCCUGACGGAGCAACGCCGCGUGAGUGAUGAAGGUCUUCGGAUCGUAAAACUCUGUUGUUAGGGAAGAACAAAUUUGUUAGUAACUGAACAAGUCUUGACGGUACCUAACCAGAAAGCCACGGCUAACUACGUGCCAGCAGCCGCGGUAAUACGUAGGUGGCAAGCGUUAUCCGGAAUUAUUGGGCGUAAAGCGCGCGUAGGCGGUUUCUUAAGUCUGAUGUGAAAGCCCACGGCUCAACCGUGGAGGGUCAUUGGAAACUGGGAAACUUGAGUGCAGAAGAGGAGAGUGGAAUUCCAUGUGUAGCGGUGAAAUGCGCAGAGAUAUGGAGGAACACCAGUGGCGAAAGGCGGCUCUCUGGUCUGUAACUGACGCUGAUGUGCGAAAGCGUGGGGAUCAAACAGGAUUAGAUACCCUGGUAGUCCACGCCGUAAACGAUGAGUGCUAAGUGUUAGGGGGUUUCCGCCCCUUAGUGCUGCAGCUAACGCAUUAAGCACUCCGCCUGGGGAGUACGACCGCAAGGUUGAAACUCAAAGGAAUUGACGGGGACCCGCACAAGCGGUGGAGCAUGUGGUUUAAUUCGAAGCAACGCGAAGAACCUUACCAAAUCUUGACAUCCUUUGACCGCUCUAGAGAUAGAGUCUUCCCCUUCGGGGGACAAAGUGACAGGUGGUGCAUGGUUGUCGUCAGCUCGUGUCGUGAGAUGUUGGGUUAAGUCCCGCAACGAGCGCAACCCUUAAGCUUAGUUGCCAUCAUUAAGUUGGGCACUCUAGGUUGACUGCCGGUGACAAACCGGAGGAAGGUGGGGAUGACGUCAAAUCAUCAUGCCCCUUAUGAUUUGGGCUACACACGUGCUACAAUGGAUAAUACAAAGGGCAGCGAAUCCGCGAGGCCAAGCAAAUCCCAUAAAAUUAUUCUCAGUUCGGAUUGUAGUCUGCAACUCGACUACAUGAAGCUGGAAUCGCUAGUAAUCGUAGAUCAGCAUGCUACGGUGAAUACGUUCCCGGGUCUUGUACACACCGCCCGUCACACCACGAGAGUUUGUAACACC